GAUGAAGAACGCAGCGAAAUGCGAUAAGUAAUGUGAAUUGUAGAAUUCAGUGAAUCAUCGAAUCUUUGAACGCACCUUGCGCCCUUUGGCUAUUCUGAAGGGCAUGCCUGUUUGAGUAUCAUGAACACCUCAACUCUCAUGGUUCGCCAUGAUGAGCUUGGACUUUGGGGGUCUUGCUGGCCUACGGUCGGCUCCUCUCAAAUGAAUCAGCUUGCCAGUGUUUGGUAGAGUCGCAGGUGUGAUAACUAUCUACGCUUGUGGUUUUCUGCCAGAUAACCUUCAGUGAUGGAGGUUCGCUGGAGCUUAUAAAUGUCUCUCCCCAGUGAGGACAGCUUUUUGAACGUUUGAUCUCAAAUCAGGUAGGACUACCCGCUGAACUUAAGCAUAUCAAUAAGCGGAGGA
RNAcentral lists this unclassified non-coding RNA (402 nucleotides) under soil metagenome. Its description in RNAcentral is "partial contains 5.8S ribosomal RNA, internal transcribed spacer 2, and large subunit ribosomal RNA". The stretch from base 1 to 121 matches the Rfam family "5.8S ribosomal RNA", at positions 35 to 154 of the family's 154-position model. The record is from RNAcentral.